This 74-nucleotide transfer RNA is filed under the name Pseudomonadota bacterium. RNAcentral describes it as "tRNA-Arg". It matches the Rfam family "tRNA". Rfam says of the family: Transfer RNA (tRNA) molecules are approximately 80 nucleotides in length. Lineage: Bacteria; Pseudomonadati; Pseudomonadota. The record is from RNAcentral.
GACCCCGUAGCUCAUUAGGAUAGAGCGGGACUUUCCUAAAGUCUAGGUAGCAGGUUCAAAUCCUGUCGGGGUCG